GCCUUCGCAGGUUCCGGCCCCGCCCUCCCUUGUCGCUGCUCGCAUCUCGCAGCGUCCAGGGCUGAUGAGCGCCUUGCUCCCGGUCACUCCAUCUCCUCGAAAUUCUUUCUGGGCCCGGACAGAAGACCCUCUGCUCUGUGGAGUCCCGAAGCACGUCCUGCGGUUUCAAAAGCAAGGAGAAGAGUUCAAGGGCACGAGGUCAGAGGCCCCGAUAAAGCCCGGCUCCCGUGCAGGUCUGAGUCCUGUAAUAGCGCUGCACGCCGUGCACUCCCAGGAGGGCUGAGCCGCAAGACCCGCCGCAGUCACCUGGCAGCCGGGUCCCGAGGCGGCCUCGGGACGGGGACCCACAGGAGGAAGCGUUCUGUUUUGGACCUGGGCCCCUGGAUGGCUAAAAUGUUAUCUAAGGAAGACUUUCAAUGACCCCGGAUUCUAGCUUCUUCCCCAAGCUCCCGCAUUGGAUGCAUUCCCUGUGUUUUCACUCAAAAGAAAUGGCAAAGAGUCUUCGCUAGAAGGACCGAGAGCAGCAGGGCCGGGCAGCCAUGGAGCCAAGGCGGGAGGAAGAUGCGUCGGUGGGCUUGACCAUCAGCCAGGGCUCUGGAUUGGACUCUGGGGACCCUGGGAGCCACGGGGCAAGAGGCAGCGGCAGGACAGCCAAGCGACAAACUCUCUUGCCCCAUGGCUCCCAGGCUCACUAUUUUCCAGGUGAAGUUAGUCUCUUACUACUAGUCCUACAACGACGCUGACGCUGAGAGUCAACAGCUGCUCAGCGGACACACAAGCCUCGAGGCCCUGGAAGGCGCACCUUCUGCCCUCUCGGGCCUGGUAGGUUUUAACCAGUCGUCAAACCGUGUAUCCUCAGUGGCCGUGUCAUGCUUUGAAGGGUGUGCCCUACCCCUCCCUUCCUUCCUGUUGUCACACAGGCAGACCUGAGCAGAGAAGGGGAACGUGGGGCUGGAUGACAGGAAACCAGCCAUCGUUGCUGUUGACUUGAAAAAAGUAUACAACCUCAACCAUGGUUUAAAAAAUUAAAACUUGAAAGUCGAGAGUUCGGUUCUCUUUGGGGUGAAGCGGGAGCUAGGACAUAUGGGUUUUUGCAACAAAGGGCAGGUAGCAGGAACAAAAGAGUCACAGACAACCGGAGGUACAGAAAGCUGGUUUCUGUGGUUAGAAGUCAGGUCGGGGCCUCCUGGAGCCCAGCCUUUGAGGCGCACCCCAGCUGGGGGUCGUCUUUUGUUGGUGUCCUGUGCUCCCCCGGGGCUCCCGGCCCACCCCUGGGAGUGGCUCUUCUCACGGGUGACCACCGCGACGUCUUUUCUUUUGCCCACUUAGCUGCAGCCCAGGAGGCCGGACGGCAGAGCUGGCCGACUUUCUGCCCCACGAGGAGAGGGGACAACAGGCCGUGACGCAGGUGAAGAGGGAGGUGCCUGCGGCCAGGCUGGCCUCUCACCGGGGUCUGCUGCUGGUGGCGGGACGGUCACUACUCGCCACAGGCAGCUGUCAUCGUGAAGGAUCUUAGUGUUUUUCUAGAUGCCAAGGGGAGCCUCCACGUUCCGGGAGAGGUGUCCCCAGCUGGUCUCCAGGGUCAGCGGCCACAUUUGAUGGAGCGGGGGGGUCUGUCUCCGUCCUCCUGGGAACCUAUCAGUUCCAGGAGAUUUUUUCGCACUUGUGAAUUGCUGUUGAAUGUUAUCAAAUGGUUUUCCUGUAGACUCAACAUAAUCACGUGGUUUUUCCUCUGAAGCCUGUCCUUAAGGGGAAAUACAUGGGCUGUUUUCAGGAUCUACUGAAAAUGAGAGUUCCAUGCUGGCUCAGCGGGUUAAGGAUCGGGCGUUGUCACUGCUGUGGCACAGGUUUGAUCCCUGGCCGGGAACUUCUCUGUGCCACAGGCACAACCAAAAUACAGACAAUCCUGAACACGCCCCGCAUGCCUAGAAUAUACCUCAUUUGGUCAUGUGAUUUUAAAAAAUACACUGCUGAAUUCUA
Molecule: long non-coding RNA, 1980 nt
Organism: Phacochoerus africanus (Common warthog)
Lineage: Eukaryota; Metazoa; Chordata; Mammalia; Artiodactyla; Suidae
Exons: 4
Source: RefSeq, a predicted model, not a curated record